RNAcentral lists this non-coding RNA (859 nucleotides) under Chiasmocleis tridactyla. RNAcentral describes it as "Syncope tridactyla partial 12S ribosomal RNA". It matches the Rfam family "Bacterial small subunit ribosomal RNA", at positions 258 to 1525 of the family's 1533-position model. Lineage: Eukaryota; Metazoa; Chordata; Amphibia; Anura; Microhylidae. The record is from RNAcentral.
GAACGCCCUCCCCCCUCACCCAGGAAGAGGAGCUGGUAUCAGGCACANCCAAAGCCCACAACACCUAGCUUCGCCACACCCACAAGGGUACUCAGCAGUGAUAAACAUUGACCAUAAGCGACAGCUUGAAUCAGCCACGGUAAAGAGGGCCGGCAAAUCCGGUGCCAGCCGCCGCGGCUACACCGUUAGGCCCAAGUUGGUGUACUCCGGCGUUAAGCGUGGUUAAAGUCAUACCAUAAAUUAGAGCCAAACUUCAACCAAGUUGUGACACACUUGUUAUUAGAAGGNUCAAAACGAAAGUUACUCUAACCAACCCACUUGACGCCACGACAAUUAGAGCACAAACUGGGAUUAGGUACCCCACUAUGUCUAACUGUAAAUUAUUCACUUACGCUAAAACCGCCAGGGAAUUACGAGCCAAAGCUUAAAACCCAAAGGACUUGACGGUGUCCCACCCACCUAGAGGAGCCUGUUCUAUAAUCGAUUCCCCCCGAUAAACCUCACCACUUCUAGCCANCUCAGCCUGUAUACCUCCGUCGUAAGCUUACCAUGUGAACGAAUCCAGUGAGCCUAAAGGCCAUUCCACCUAUACGUCAGGUCAAGGUGCAGCUAACGAACUGGGAAGAAAUGGGCUACAGUCUCUACCAUAGAACCAACGAAAGACUACAUGAAACAGUCGCNUGAAGGCGGAUUUAGCAGUAAAAAGAAAAUAGAGAGUUCUUUUUAAUUAGGCGCUGGGACGCGUACACACCGCCCGUCACCCUCUUCAAAUACAAACAAACGUCAAUGACACCAAACAAUACAACAGAAGAGGCAAGUCGUAACACGGUAAGCGUACUGGAAAGUGCGCUUGGAUNAA